Molecule: long non-coding RNA, 1069 nt
Organism: Bactrocera tryoni
Lineage: Eukaryota; Metazoa; Arthropoda; Insecta; Diptera; Tephritidae
Exons: 3
Source: RefSeq, a predicted model, not a curated record
UACAUAUAUGUAAUUCCUAAUGCUUACAGACGCUGAAAUUUGUACUAUGGUUCUUAAGAGAUUUUGUGGAGGUAAACAGCAUUACAUGAAGUACAUCGAAUUGAAGGGAUACUAAAUAAAAUGUAUGAACUCCAACUGUUUUUAAGACAGAUUCCUACCAAUAGUUCAUCAACAUUGUGUUGAAUUCCACUGGAUGUCUCUAUAAAUUUUGCAUCGUGUGAAGCAGCUAACGCUUUUCCUUCUAAAGACGAAACGAGAGAAAAUCAGGAUUUAUUGCAUAAUAUAUUCGGAAAUCAGCGCAGAUUACUCCAUUAAGAGACCCUGAUUUCUUCUGAUGCUAGUUACCUAAGUUUUAUGGAGAGCAUGUAUGUAGCGAGCGUGUUUUUCUUUGCGCCAGGUACGUCAUCAUCGCUUCUAAAUAUAUUUAUUAGCUUAAACUGUAUAGUGUACUUUACUUUCCAUCAUUCUCUUUUUAAUUAACAAGGCAACAUAACAAGCAAGGAAGGCUAAGUUUAGGUUUAACAGAAAAUGUUAUACUCUUGCAACUUGCAGGGAUCAAAUAAUAACAUUUGGCAUAAUAAUAAAGUUUGGCAUAACUAUGUACAUAUGUAUAUUAAAAACUAUAUUAAAACAUGAAAUCGUGAAUACAUUACAUUUAACUAGUCUUUUCUUCGCAUUAGCGAAAAUUAUUUAUGUAUGUAUUAAAAUCAUUCUCAAAUGAGAUAAAUGUUAUGUAAACUCAACCGAAGAUGCUAAAUUUAAUAUCUUGAGUUAAUGUGGAAAACGUCUACCAGAAGGCCAAAAAUAUUUAGGGAAAUGAGGUUUGGACGAAGGUCUAGGUCAACUCCAUUCAUAUUCACCGCUAAACCACAUAAUUUUUAUAACAGCUUCAAUAUUCAAAUAACGAAAAUCAUUAAAUAUGAUAUGGGCCAAUUCGUAGACCAAUUUCACAUACUUUAUUCAAUAUUAUACGUUCAGUUAAUUUCGGUAAUAUAUCAUAUAUGUAUAUUGAUUUAUAUAUACAUAUAUAGUAUAAAGCCAAACGGACGUUUGAAAAUCUUUGUUAGGU